RNAcentral lists this ribosomal RNA (450 nucleotides) under uncultured bacterium. RNAcentral's name for it is "bacterial SSU rRNA". It matches the Rfam family "Bacterial small subunit ribosomal RNA", at positions 32 to 470 of the family's 1533-position model. The record is from RNAcentral.
AACGCUGGCGGCGUGCCUAAUACAUGCAAGUCGAGCGGACCGGACGAGAGCUUGCUCUUGUUCGGUUAGCGGCGGACGGGUGAGUAACACGUGGGCAACCUACCCGUAAGACCGGGAUAACUCCGGGAAACCGGAGCUAAUACCGGAUAACACCGAAGACCGCAUGGUCUUCGGUUGAAAGGCGGCUUUGGCUGUCACUUACGGAUGGGCCCGCGGCGCAUUAGCUAGUUGGUGAGGUAACGGCUCACCAAGGCGACGAUGCGUAGCCGGCCUGAGAGGGUGACCGGCCACACUGGGACUGAGACACGGCCCAGACUCCUACGGGAGGCAGCAGUAGGGAAUCUUCCGCAAUGGACGAAAGUCUGACGGAGCGACGCCGCGUGAGCGAAGAAGGUCUUCGGAUCGUAAAGCUCUGUUGUUAGGGAAGAAGAAGUACCGUUCGAAUAGGGC